GACGAACGCUGGCGGCGUGCUUAACACAUGCAAGUCGAACGGAAAGGCCCUGCUUUUGUGGGGUGCUCGAGUGGCGAACGGGUGAGUAACACGUGAGUAACCUGCCCUUGACUUUGGGAUAACUUCAGGAAACUGGGGCUAAUACCGGAUAGGAGCUCCUGCUGCAUGGUGGGGGUUGGAAAGUUUCGGCGGUUGGGGAUGGACUCGCGGCUUAUCAGCUUGUUGGUGGGGUAGUGGCUUACCAAGGCUUUGACGGGUAGCCGGCCUGAGAGGGUGACCGGCCACAUUGGGACUGAGAUACGGCCCAGACGCCUACGGGAGGCAGCAGUGGGGAAUAUUGCACAAUGGGCGGAAGCCGGAUGCAGCAACGCCGCGUGCGGGAUGACGGCCUUCGGGUUGUAAACCGCUUUCGCCUGUGACGAAGCGUGAGUGACGGUAAUGGGUAAAGAAGCACCGGCUAACUACGUGC
Molecule: ribosomal RNA, 469 nt
Filed under: uncultured bacterium
Lineage: Bacteria
Description: partial 16S ribosomal RNA
Rfam family: Bacterial small subunit ribosomal RNA
Source: RNAcentral